Molecule: ribosomal RNA, 723 nt
Filed under: Vibrio sp. 12D12
Lineage: Bacteria; Pseudomonadati; Pseudomonadota; Gammaproteobacteria; Vibrionales; Vibrionaceae
Description: bacterial SSU rRNA
Rfam family: Bacterial small subunit ribosomal RNA
Source: RNAcentral
ACGCUGGCGGCAGGCCUAACACAUGCAAGUCGAGCGGAAACGAGUUAUCUGAACCUUCGGGGAACGAUAACGGCGUCGAGCGGCGGACGGGUGAGUAAUGCCUAGGAAAUUGCCCUGAUGUGGGGGAUAACCAUUGGAAACGAUGGCUAAUACCGCAUAAUGCCUACGGGCCAAAGAGGGGGACCUUCGGGCCUCUCGCGUCAGGAUAUGCCUAGGUGGGAUUAGCUAGUUGGUGAGGUAAUGGCUCACCAAGGCGACGAUCCCUAGCUGGUCUGAGAGGAUGAUCAGCCACACUGGAACUGAGACACGGUCCAGACUCCUACGGGAGGCAGCAGUGGGGAAUAUUGCACAAUGGGCGCAAGCCUGAUGCAGCCAUGCCGCGUGUGUGAAGAAGGCCUUCGGGUUGUAAAGCACUUUCAGUCGUGAGGAAGGUAGUGUAGUUAAUAGCUGCAUUAUUUGACGUUAGCGACAGAAGAAGCACCGGCUAACUCCGUGCCAGCAGCCGCGGUAAUACGGAGGGUGCGAGCGUUAAUCGGAAUUACUGGGCGUAAAGCGCAUGCAGGUGGUUUGUUAAGUCAGAUGUGAAAGCCCGGGGCUCAACCUCGGAAUUGCAUUUGAAACUGGCAGACUAGAGUACUGUAGAGGGGGGUAGAAUUUCAGGUGUAGCGGUGAAAUGCGUAGAGAUCUGAAGGAAUACCGGUGGCGAAGGCGGCCCCCUGGACA